UAAUACGAGGGGGGCAAGCGUUGUUCGGAAUUAUUGGGCGUAAAGGGAGCGUAGGCGGUUUUGUAAGUCGUGUGUGAAAUCUUCGGGCUCAACCCGAAGUCUGCACACGAAACUGCAGGGCUUGAGUAUGGGAGAGGUGAGUGGAAUUCCUGGUGUAGCGGUGAAAUGCGUAGAUAUCAGGAGGAACACCUGUGGCGAAAGCGGCUCACUGGACCAUUACUGACGCUGAGGCUCGAAAGCUAGGGGAGCAAACAGGAUUAGAUACCCUGGUAGUCCUAGCCCUAAACGAUGACUGCUUGGUGUGGCGGGUACCCAAUCCCGCCGUGCCGUAGCUAACGCGUUAAGCAGUCCGCCUGGGGAGUACGGUCGCAAGGCUG
RNAcentral lists this ribosomal RNA (377 nucleotides) under uncultured bacterium. RNAcentral's name for it is "bacterial SSU rRNA". It matches the Rfam family "Bacterial small subunit ribosomal RNA", at positions 521 to 896 of the family's 1533-position model. The record is from RNAcentral.